AGAGUUUGAUCCUGGCUCAGGAUGAACGCUGGCGGCGUGCCUAAUACAUGCAAGUCGAACGCUUCACUUCGGUGAAGAGUGGCGAACGGGUGAGUAAUACAUAAGUAACCUGGCAUCUACAGGGGGAUAACUGAUGGAAACGUCAGCUAAGACCGCAUAGGUGUAGAGAUCGCAUGAACUCUAUAUGAAAAGUGCUACGGGACUGGUAGAUGAUGGACUUAUGGCGCAUUAGCUUGUUGGUAGGGUAACGGCCUACCAAGGCGACGAUGCGUAGCCGACCUGAGAGGGUGACCGGCCACACUGGGACUGAGACACCCCAGACUCCUACGGGAGGCAGCAGUAGGGAAUUUUCGGCAAUGGGGGAAACCCUGACCGAGCAACGCCGCGUGAAGGAAGAAGUAAUUCGUUAUGUAAACUUCUGUCAUAGAGGAAGAACGGUGGAUAUAGGGAAUGAUAUCCAAGUGACGGUACUCUAUAAGAAAGCCACGGCUAACUACGUGCCAGCAGCCGCGGUAAUACGUAGGUGGCGAGCGUUAUCCGGAAUUAUUGGGCGUAAAGAGGGAGCAGGCGGCACUAAGGGUCUGUGGUGAAAGAUCGAAGCUUAACUUCGGUAAGCCAUGGAAACCGUAGAGCUAGAGUGUGUGAGAGGAUCGUGGAAUUCCAUGUGUAGCGGUGAAAUGCGUAGAUAUAUGGAGGAACACCAGUGGCGAAGGCGACGAUCUGGCGCAUAACUGACGCUCAGUCCCGAAAGCGUGGGGAGCAAAUAGGAUUAGAUACCCUAGUAGUCCACGCCGUAAACGAUGAGUACUAAGUGUUGGGUGUCAAAGCUCAGUGCUGCAGUUAACGCAAUAAGUACUCCGCCUGAGUAGUACGUUCGCAAGAAUGAAACUCAAAGGAAUUGACGGGGGCCCGCACAAGCGGUGGAGCAUGUGGUUUAAUUCGAAGCAACGCGAAGAACCUUACCAGGUCUUGACAUCGAUCUAAAGGCUCCAGAGAUGGAGAGAUAGCUAUAGAGAAGACAGGUGGUGCAUGGUUGUCGUCAGCUCGUGUCGUGAGAUGUUGGGUUAAGUCCCGCAACGAGCGCAACCCCUGUUGCCAGUUGCCAGCAUUAAGUUGGGGACUCUGGCGAGACUGCCGGUGACAAGCCGGAGGAAGGCGGGGAUGACGUCAAAUCAUCAUGCCCCUUAUGACCUGGGCUACACACGUGCUACAAUGGACAGAGCAGAGGGAAGCGAAGCCGCGAGGUGGAGCGAAACCCAUAAAACUGUUCUCAGUUCGGACUGCAGUCUGCAACUCGACUGCACGAAGAUGGAAUCGCUAGUAAUCGCGAAUCAGCAUGUCGCGGUGAAUACGUUCUCGGGCCUUGUACACACCGCCCGUCACACCAUGAGAGUCGGUAACACCCGAAGCCGGUGGCCUAACCGCAAGGAAGGAGCUGUCUAAGGUGGGACUGAUGAUUGGGGUGAAGUCGUAACAAGGUA
This 1481-nucleotide ribosomal RNA is filed under the name metagenome. RNAcentral describes it as "bacterial SSU rRNA". It matches the Rfam family "Bacterial small subunit ribosomal RNA". The record is from RNAcentral.